RNAcentral lists this ribosomal RNA (408 nucleotides) under uncultured bacterium. RNAcentral's name for it is "partial 16S ribosomal RNA". It matches the Rfam family "Bacterial small subunit ribosomal RNA", at positions 28 to 526 of the family's 1533-position model. The record is from RNAcentral.
GACGAACGCUGGCGGCGUGCUUAACACAUGCAAGUCGAACGAAGUGGCGAACGGGUGAGUAACGCGUAAUCAACCUGCUCUUCAGAGGGGCACAACAGUUGGAAACGACUGCUAAUACUGCAUACUGAAGGUGGGGACUGCGUCUGAUUAGCUAGUUGGAGGGGUAACGGCCCACCAAGGCGAUGAUCGGUAGCCAGUCUGAGAAGAGUGUCGGGCACAAUGGGACCGAGGCACGGCCCAGACUCCUACGGGGGGCAACCGUGGGGGAACUUUCGCAAUGGACGGAAAUCUGACUGAGCAACGGCGGGGGAGUAGAGGCGGCCUUCGGGUUUUAAAACUCUGUUAAUCGGGACGCGGUACCGAAAUAGAAAGCCACGGCUAACUACGUGCCAGCAGCCGCGGUAAUUC